CCCCAAAAAGCCGUCCCAGUUCGGAUCGCAGGCUGCAACCCGCCUGCGUGAAGUCGGAAUUGCUAGUAAUCGCGGAUCAGAAUGCCGCGGUGAAUGCGUUCCCGGGUCUUGUACACACCGCCCGUCACACCAUGGAAGUUGGGGCGCCCGAAGUUGCCUAAGAAAUAAGGUACCUAAGGCGAAACCAAUGACUGGGGUGAAGUCGUAACAAGGUACC
This 217-nucleotide ribosomal RNA is filed under the name uncultured bacterium. Its description in RNAcentral is "partial 16S ribosomal RNA". It matches the Rfam family "Bacterial small subunit ribosomal RNA", at positions 1273 to 1500 of the family's 1533-position model. The record is from RNAcentral.